GCCCCUGUAGCUCACCAGGACAGAGCAACGGUUUCCUAAACCGUGUGUAGCAGGUUCAAGUCCUGCCAGGGGUA
This 74-nucleotide transfer RNA is filed under the name Candidatus Zhuqueibacterota bacterium. RNAcentral describes it as "candidate division KSB1 bacterium (freshwater sediment metagenome) tRNA-Arg". It matches the Rfam family "tRNA". Rfam says of the family: Transfer RNA (tRNA) molecules are approximately 80 nucleotides in length. The record is from RNAcentral. Lineage: Bacteria; Pseudomonadati.